CAAUAGCGUAUAUUUAAGUUGUUGCAGUUAAAAAGCUCGUAGUUGAAUUUCUGGCCGGUCGCUUUCUCGGCAGUAGUCGGUCUGAGGCCUGGUCAUCCGUAGGGGAAACACGUGCGGCCUUCAGUGGUCGGCGUGCGGAACCUACAAUUUACUGUGAAAAAAUUGGAGUGCUCCAGGCAGGCAAUCGCUUGGAUACUCCAGCAUGGAAUAAUGGAAUAGGACUUUGGACUAUUUGUUGGUGUCAAAUCCAGAGUAAUGAUUAAUAGGGACAGUUGGGGGCAUUCGUAUUUAAUUGUCAGAGGUGAAAUUCUUGGAUUUAUUAAAGACGAACUUAUGCGAAAGCAUUUGCCAAGGAUGUUUUCAUUA
RNAcentral lists this ribosomal RNA (366 nucleotides) under uncultured eukaryote. Its description in RNAcentral is "partial 18S ribosomal RNA". It matches the Rfam family "Eukaryotic small subunit ribosomal RNA", at positions 592 to 975 of the family's 1831-position model. The record is from RNAcentral.